Molecule: ribosomal RNA, 226 nt
Filed under: uncultured bacterium
Lineage: Bacteria
Description: partial 16S ribosomal RNA
Rfam family: Bacterial small subunit ribosomal RNA
Source: RNAcentral
UACGUAGGGUGCAAGCGUUGUCCGGAAUUAUUGGGCGUAAAGAGCUCGUAGGCGGUCUGUCGCGUCUGCUGUGAAAACUCAGGGCUUAACCCUGAGCUUGCAGUGGGUACGGGCAGACUAGAGUGCGGUAGGGGAGACUGGAAUUCCGUGGUGAUAGCGGUGAAAUGCGCAGAUAUCAGGAGGAACACCGGUGGCGAAGGCGGGUCUCUGGGCCGUAACUGACGCU